UUUCACCUGUAGCAAAAUUUCACUGGAAAAAGUCAUAGCACCAACCUUGUUUUACUCCAAUCCAAUCGGAUAAUACCCAGAAUUAGAGCAUUAACAUUCCAAUUUUACCUCAUAAUGUUGGGAUCUCCAAUCACGUGUCUACCUCUAUACCAUCACCAUUACAAUGCAAUUUACACCAUCAUUACAGGAAAAGCCAAAUUCAUCUGUUAUAAUCUGAUAUAAAUCAGUUUUUGUUUUGACACAACAAAGACUUUGUUUAAUAUUUCCAUGUGUCUCAGGUGAUCCACGCAUAACCACUGCUGCUUUCUUUUCUUGUUCUUUCUGGCCAGUGGCCACCCCAAGUAUAUACUUGAAAAGUUUUCCCAGAAGAAGGAAGAAUCAAAAGAAUGGCGUUCACUGGAACUCUUGAUAAGUGCAAGGCUUGUGACAAGACUGUUUAUGUUGUUGAUAUGUUGUCUCUUGAAGGAGUGCCUUAUCAUAAAUACUGCUUCAAAUGCAGCCACUGCAAAGGAACUCUUGUGAUGAGCAACUAUUCCUCCAUGGAUGGAGUCCUCUACUGCAAGCCGCAUUUUGAGCAACUUUUCAAGGAAUCUGGCAAUUUCAGCAAGAAUUUUCAAGCAGGCAAGACUGAGAAACAAAAUGACGCGGUAUAUUCAUGUUCCCUCUGGUUUUAUAUGCUUAGGCUGGAUUAAUUUGGAAGUCCCGCCAAAGUAAAAUAUAACCCAAUCUGACUUAAAUGAUAGAAUUUGAAAACCAUUUUGAUGGAUGAGAUUUUCUAGGAUUCUCUGGUUUUAUCUAUCUGUUUCAUUACUGUUAAAACAUUGAAUGUUGGCAUCUUUUGCAGUCUAAGGUCCCCAGCAAAGUCUCUUCCUUGUUCUCUGGAACCCAAGACAAGUGUUCUGCUUGUAGCAAAACAGUGUAUCCGCUGGAGAAGGUUGGUUUGCAAUUCUAAAUUUUAAUUACAAUUUUCAUGCUGACGUUUUGUAAGGAUCUUUGUCCAGAAAUAUGCAUAUAAUUUGCUUCCCCGUUCCAAGUAAGAGCAGUACUACUUGAAUUAAUCUCAAAUGGGUGUCAUGGAUUAGCAAUCCAGGCCUUUUCCUUAAAAAAGAAGGCACUGUUUCGUUCAUUAAAAUUUUAGUCGGCGGUCAAUUCCAUUUCUGGGAAACCAAUUCAAGCAAAGUAGAAAGGUUUAGGUAAAAUGAAUAUCUGUUGGAAAGCCAUUUUCAGUAAAAGCAACCUUAUGAUCACUUGGAAUAUUGUUGUUGAUGCAGGUGACUCUGGAGGGAGAAUGUUUUCACAAGUCAUGCUUCAGGUGUGCACAUGGAGGAUGUCCUCUCACACACUCAUCUUAUGCUGCCCUUGAUGGAGUCCUCUACUGCAAGCACCACUUUGCUCAGCUGUUCAUGGAGAAAGGGAGCUAUUCCCAUGUUCUCCAGGCUGCUUCCCACAAGAGAACUGCUUCCUCCACACCACCUCCUGAGCUGGCUGAGCCAGAAGCAGAAGGAGAAGGUGCAGCUGCUGGAGACAACUAAGAAGAGCACUCUUAAACGAAGAAAAACCAUGGUUUCUUUCUUGCAUCAUUACUUUCUCAUCUAAAAGUUUGAUUUUGAUGUGGCAGAUGCCAUCAUCAUGUUGAAGAUUGUUGUCUAAUUGUUCACAAUUUUGAUCUCGGAUUUGUUUAUUUAUGUUAUUCAUGCGAAUCACUUGGUUCAAUAUAUUGAAUUUUGUACUAGUUUUGCCAAAUUCUUGUUCUCAUUUUCAUUUCUAUUUUCUUCAAGAAAAAAAG
Molecule: unclassified non-coding RNA, 1786 nt
Filed under: Hevea brasiliensis (rubber tree)
Lineage: Eukaryota; Viridiplantae; Streptophyta; Magnoliopsida; Malpighiales; Euphorbiaceae
Source: RNAcentral